UUCAUCAUAGACUUGCCCAAAGCCGCAUCAGCAUCAUUGUGCAUUCCCCUGAUAUUAGUAUAACCUUCUUGUUUUUCUUUUUUAAAAAAGAUUCUGCAGUCAGCUAUCCAAUCUGUAAAUUGUCAUUCUUGUUCUGUAAAAGAAUUCAGAAGUUGAGAAUACCAAUCAUAAAUAUUUUGUUACCUUUAUUUGCUUUCUUGUGCUAGCUUUGACUUUUGUACCUUGAAACUAGUUACAUUGGAUCAAGUUCUAAAUACAUGCCAUUGAUUCAUUUGGUUUCAUUUGUCUAAUCUGUACUGUACUUUUAUGUUAACGUUCAGCCAACUCAGUAAAACGUACCAAGUUUGAAUUUCCACUCAACAGCUAUUUUUCAUUCUCAAAGUAAAAAUGGAGAGGUAUUAUUUAGAAACUAAACUAUGAAAGUACGAAUAGCAUGUUAUGAACAUUUGUUCUAAUGAAAAGGAAAUAGCAGUCAAUAGCUACUUUUUACUUUGAAUCAUAAUUUUAGCCACUAAAUGAUGAUUUUAAAUGUUUUUAUUAUUCCAAAUUUGGUUUUAAUAAUUUCGAUUGUUUUCAAAUGGUCAGACUAAUUAGUAAAUAUUUGAUACAGCGUAAUAGCAGAUUGCACAAAGAAAAAGUCAUUUGGAUAAAUUAGAGUGAGGGAGGAAAUUCAAUUGGAGAAAACAAAUGGAAAAUAUGCCAUCAGCCAAAGUUCUUUUAAGAUUUCAUAAUUUAAAUUCCUUGCAAUUCUAGACAAAGAAAUAAAGAAAAAUGAAAUUGAAGAACACUAUUGACAAAUGAGGUUGCUUGGUACAAAUUGAAGUUACUAUAUGUUUUUCUUGAAUUAAAUAAGCGCAAAAUAUAGAAAAAGAAACUUUGGAAGUUAAUGUCAAAUUGAAAUUCUUAAUUAAUUGAUCAUCUUUUUAAUAAUGCUAUGGUCACCUUCAACUGUGUAGCUUUCCCUCUAUCAGUAUUAAAAUUAUUAGCUUCUGUUACUUGUGGCGUUCACAAAUAAAGAAGGUCAAUCUACAACAUACAAUCACCAAAACUUCUGACUUUUGAAUAAUUUGAUUAAGUCAUAUAGUAAUAUAUAACAUUAUAACUUAUUCAAACCCAAUGAUGAAUAAAAGGUUCAAGUUUUAAAGCUUACAAAAAGAAAAAUUGUUUAGCCAAGCUGAUGGAUUUCUCACACAUCUUUCUCUUCUUCUUCCUCUUCUUCUUCCCCACUUUAAUCACAGCUCAAAGUUGCUCUGUUUCCAAGUGUAUCAACGAUGACUUCGCCAUCAGAUUCCCCUUUCGAAUUCCAGACCAGCAACCUGCAAGAUGUGGCUAUCCUGGUUUCAACUUAGCCUGCAACAAAGCGGGUGUGACGACUGUAAAUCUAUCAGCUUCUGAGUAUUUUUUGGUCAGGGGUAUCGAUUAUGCCACUCAACAAAUACAGCUCUAUGAUUCAGAUGAUUGCCUACCUGGAAGACUUCUUCAAGGCUUCAACAAAAUCAAUUUCUCAAACUCCCCAUUUAUGCCACUUUUUAGUCAGAAUAUUACCUUUCUAAGCUGCCCACCUCGGUUCACAAUGUCGCAUUUUCCCAUCAUUGAUUGUCUUAGCAAUUCAACAACCUCGAUUCUGGCUACUUCCUCAACGAGUUUUGUCAAGUCAAUGUCAACCUCUUGCACGAUCAUGAAAACUUUACCUGUCCCAGUUUCAAACCCAGAUGAGACCAAUCAAUUUUCAACCGACCUCAAUGGUGAUCUCGUGCUAACUUGGGACAGCCCUGCUUGCGGUAUCUGCGAAACAGAAGGCAGGCUUUGUGGGUACAAAAGCAAUAGCGGUCAGGGAAUUUCCUGUUUCGACAAAUACACAUCAGGUAAAGGCUCUGCCCUUAACUAUUUCCUAAGUUUAUGUUUAAACUAUACCAUACCUAAAAGCUCAAAAAUUCAUCUUUUACAAUCGGUGGAAUGAUUUCUUAAACAUCUCUUGUAUCCUAAUUGGUUGAGAAAAAUCUCAAAGCAAAUACGUAAUAAAAUAUUGAAAAAAGAAAAGGAAAAAAAAAAACCCCAUUAUUUUCUUAAAAUCAUAAUAACAAAUCAAUGUCCAAAUAACACUGGCGGUAUUACCUAUUACCCUAAACUGCAGGCUGCUGUAUGAAUCUUCGACUGGCUGUUGGUUGACCAAGACAUAAAUAAUGUUUAUAUUUCUGGGAAAUUGGGAUUAAAGUAAUACCUGAAGAAUAAUUUUUCUUUUUUUUAAAAAAAGUUGACUUUUUAGAUGGUGAAGGAAUGACAAAGACACUUGACAUUUCUUCACUGUUGCACGUCUCUUAAUAAUCUUCAAACGGGAUCAAAUAUGCUUUGACAUUGCUUGGGAACCCCACCCCGCGCCCUCGCACCCACACUCACAGGAAAAAUGCCAUUCAUGAUAUAUUUUGCAAGAAUAUCAAAGUUCAUGAUACCCAAUUAAAUGAUAGUAACCUUAAAUUUCAGAGGAAAACAAUGGUCUCAGAGUGCUGCGGAUUAUCUGUGUGGUGAUUCUUCUUCCGACUUUGAUCUGUGUCUUUGGACUUGGCUGUUUUAUCUGCUUGGCAAAGUGGAGCUAUAGCCUUACAGACGGCAGAGGAAAC
Molecule: long non-coding RNA, 2618 nt
Filed under: Cucumis sativus (cucumber)
Lineage: Eukaryota; Viridiplantae; Streptophyta; Magnoliopsida; Cucurbitales; Cucurbitaceae
Description: long non-coding RNA (CSAT_LNC000900)
Source: RNAcentral